UAGGGAAUCUUCGGCAAUGGGGGGAACCCUGACCGAGCAACGCCGCGUGAGUGAAGAAGGUUUUCGGAUCGUAAAGCUCUGUUGUUAAGGAAGAACGAGUGUGAGAAUGGAAAGUUCAUACUGUGACGGUACUUAACCAGAAAGGGACGGCUAACUACGUGCCAGCAGCCGCGGUAAUACGUAGGUCCCGAGCGUUGUCCGGAUUUAUUGGGCGUAAAGCGAGCGCAGGCGGUUAGAUAAGUCUGAAGUUAAAGGCAGUGGCUCAACCAUUGUAGGCUUUGGAAACUGUUUAACUUGAGUGCAGAAGAGGAGAGUGGAAUUCCAUGUGUAGCGGUGAAAUGCGUAGAUAUAUGGAGGAACACCAGUGGCGAAAGCGGCUCUCUGGUCUGUACCUGACGCUGAGGCUCGAAAGCGUGGGGAGCGAACAGG
RNAcentral lists this ribosomal RNA (429 nucleotides) under Bacteroidota bacterium. Its description in RNAcentral is "Bacteroidetes bacterium partial 16S ribosomal RNA". It matches the Rfam family "Bacterial small subunit ribosomal RNA", at positions 355 to 776 of the family's 1533-position model. Lineage: Bacteria; Pseudomonadati; Bacteroidota. The record is from RNAcentral.